UGCAGAAUAUCACCGACCAAAGUUUGUUUUUGAUAGCUGACAAUUAUCAAGAACUAGAGGCAUUAAAUAUUACUAGGUGUGUCAAGUUGACAGAUGUUGGGUUGCAAAAGAUACUUCCUAGAUGUGUUGGCCUCCAAAGUUUAAACCUUUACGCUCUUUCAAGUUUCACAGAUAAAGCUUAUGAAAAUAUUGCAAAUUUAGUAGGUCUAAGA
Long non-coding RNA from Asparagus officinalis (garden asparagus), 212 nucleotides. RefSeq lists it as uncharacterized. NCBI's taxonomy places the organism in Eukaryota, Viridiplantae, Streptophyta, Magnoliopsida, Asparagales, Asparagaceae. The record is from RefSeq and is a predicted model, not a curated record. The transcript is spliced from 3 exons.